UACGGAGGAUCCUAGUGUUAUCCGGGUUUAUUGGGUUUAAAGGGAGCGUAGGCGGGAGGUCAAGUCAGCUGUGAAAUGUAUCUGCUUAACGGGUACACUGCAGUUGAAACUGGUUUUCUUGAGUGCGUAAGAGGCAGGCGGAAUUCGUUGUGUAGCGGUGAAAUGCUUAGAUAUGACGAGGAACUCCUAUUGCGAAGGCAGCUUGCUGGGUCGUUACUGACGCUGAUGCUCGAAGGUGCGGGGAUCAAACAGGAUUAGAUACCCU
Molecule: ribosomal RNA, 265 nt
Filed under: uncultured prokaryote
Description: partial 16S ribosomal RNA
Rfam family: Bacterial small subunit ribosomal RNA
Source: RNAcentral